Long non-coding RNA from Astatotilapia calliptera (eastern happy), 2952 nucleotides. The record is from Ensembl. Lineage: Eukaryota; Metazoa; Chordata; Actinopteri; Cichliformes; Cichlidae.
CCACUUCAGUCAGUCUACUUUCACUUUCCUUUGACUGUAAACGGUUUUUGAUCAAGCUAGGCUAGACUGACGAUAGAUCAAUAUAUAUCUGAAAGUAUUUGGGGGUUUUUUCAUCCCAGCGUCUCUUUUGCUCCCGAAGACCCCAUUUGCACAGCAGGUGAAAUCAUGGAUGGUUUGCUUAAGGAAAUAAGAAGCAAGGACCAAGCAGCCGCCUCUGUACUGGAACAGGCGGAUUUACGCAGUGACUCAGAUCUCCAGUCACUGACUUUACAAGACCUGGGUUUGCUGUUCCCUGGAGUUAAAAAUGUCAAACUGAGAAGGGAUAUCUUUGAUAUAAUACACAAGCAGAAAUCAAUUGGUGAGCUCAUAGAAAAAUCCAAGCACUUCAUCCCACAUGACUCUCUCAGGGCUGCCUUAACUGAAAAUGGAGUUUUGGUCGACUACCUGAAAAUGUUGAAGGAAAUGAAGACCCAAAUGAAUAAAGAUUUCCUUGAUCCGCAUAUCAAUCUACUGGAGGACUUCAGGAAAUCUCAACCAUCGCAGGACCAGGACAAAGGUGAAAUCAUGGAUAUUUUGCUUAAGGAAAUAAGACGCAAGGAUGAAGUGGCAGCCAAUAAACUGGAAGAGGAAGGUUUGAGAGCUGACUCAGAUCUCCAGUUACUGACUUUACAAGACCUGGGUUUGCUGUUACCUGGAGUUGAAAAUGUCAAACGGAUAAGGGAAAUCUUUGAUAUAAUACACAAGCAGAAACCAAUUGGUGUGCUCAUAGAAAAAUUCAAGGACUUCAUCCCACAUGAAUCUUUCAGGGCUGCCUUAACUGAAAAUGGAGUUUUGGUUGACUACCUGAAAAUGUUGAAGGAAAUGAAGAUCCAAUUGAAUAAAGUGCAAGAUUUCCUUGAUGCACAUAUCAAUCUACUGGAGGACCUCAGGAAAUCUCAACCAUUGCAGAACCAGGACAAAGGUUCUUCGUCAAGUGGUCCAGUGAAGCGCCACAAUAGCCAAACCAGUGACCCUCCACAAAUGCAACAAGAGGAAAACGUUUUGCAUAAAGAAAAAAGACACAAGGAUGAAAAAGCAGCAGGUUCUUCGUCAAGUAGUGAGAAUAGCCAAACUAGUGACCUUCCAGAAAUACAACAAGCCACACUGAAGUACAAGAUGGUGAUAAGUGGAAAAACCUUUAAUGCCCAUCAACAGAUACUGGAAAAAGUAAAGGCUUUAAAUGAGGAUCCAGAUUUGAAUUUGAUCGAACAGGAAGACAGCAAUCAGGAUUGCCAGGCCAUUAUUGUCUUCUGUCCCAUUGUUUCACGUAUGGGGACAGAUAUUGAUGCAGCCAUGACGCAAGUCAAAGGUAAGGGAAAGAAUUAAAUUAGUCAUCCAUUCAAAAAAUUGCAGUUGUGUUUUAUGAGACAUUUUUGGGUUUGAGAAUACGACCUGAAAGUAACUCAUAAUAAUGAUGAGCUUUUAAAAGCAUCAGGAAUAGCAUGAAUUUUGUCUAAUGUUUCUAUAGUAUAAGAAAAUCUGUGGCCAUUAAAAUUUUUUUCUUUUAAUACUUUUCCACUGUUAUGUUAUGUUCUCGUAAUCCGUCUCCUCUUUUUUGCUCUCUGUAGGUUCUCAGCCUGUCAUUCUGGUUUUGAUGCAUCACGCACAUGAACCCAAGCAUGUAACUUUAAUGAAAAUACAGAAUAAUGUUUCUAAUGUUGUGUUACCUUUCCAUGUUUUCUACCAUGAGACAGUGCAUGGAUUGUUGCAGUGUCAGCAAAAUAACGAUGCCAUUUCUGAAAUUCGAAAGGCAUUACUGAAGCACGCAGAUAUCCAGACAAUUAAAGAUACAAGUGGAAAGACACAGAAUGUAGCUGCUAAAAGUAGUAAUCGUGGUGGGAGUUUUAUUUUUCGUUUUUGGUAAAUAAUGAUAGUGUAAAUUCAGAUAUUACAAGUCAAAGAAACUGUAUAUAUAUCCCAUGCAUUACUCUUUUGUAAUCUAAUUUUUUUUGCGCUGUAUCACUUCAGUAGUGUAGAUUGCUCUGACCAUUUGAGUAGGAAGCGAAAAUUUUAUGGUUUUGAUCAUGCAAAAUAAUUAUUUUGUACAUUGUGAAACAAAAGGACAGCACAGAAUCGUCUUUGUGACCUUUAUUUCAGUACUUUAAGAUAUUUCAGCUGUAAGGGUAGUUGCAGAGUCAACAGGUGUGAUCAUGAAGUGUCAAAGAAGAGGUCAGAGACACAGUAUAUGGGUGUAGAUAGUCAUAAAACUACUUUCAACUGUACCAACUGCUGUUUAUCUCUAAAAACAAAAGUGACAGCUACAGCUGUAUGUACACAGUGACAUCGUAAGUCCUUUGAUCAUUAAGAUAAAUAAUAAAUAUAUUUAUAUCAAAGUCAAACAUAUUGUGAUUAGUUUCACGGUUGCUAUGUAAAUCUGCAAGUUAUUUUCAUCUUUCAGAAAAAAAAAAUCAAGCCAAUGUUUAAAAUUGUGAAUAAAAAUGUAAAAAAACAUCUGUUGUCUUCUUUUUCUUUUUUCCUUUUUUUUUUUUUUUUUUUUUAAAUUGAGGGGUCCUGAACAGUUCAAAACACCAGUGUAUUUACAGUAUAAUUUAACCUAGUUCAGCUAAUAUUUCUGCUGUUAUUUUCUAUAUUCUUGACUUUUAUUCACUCUAAGAAAGACUAAAGAGUGCAAAGACCACAUAUUCAAUGAUAAGCCACUUUAUACAUGUUUACAUUAUAUUCAUAGAAAAUGAAAAAUUGUGUGUGACAAACUUUUUUUUUCUUUUUUCUUUUCUUUUCUUUUUUUUCUUUCCCUUUUUUUUCUUUUUGGCUGGUGUAAAGUUUGUCAUCUAAAUAAAAUGCCCUUUGUCUCCGGUUCUGUUCAUAAUUUUUAUGGACAGGAUUUCUAGGCGCAGCCAAGUGGCGGAGGGCUUUCGCUUUGGUGGCCUCAGAAUCUCAUCUCUGAUUUUUGCA